GUGGGGAAUUUUGGACAAUGGGCGCAAGCCUGAUCCAGCAAUGCCGCGUGCAGGAAGAAGGCCUUCGGGUUGUAAACUGCUUUUGUACGGGAAGAAACACUCCCUCGUGAGGGAGCUUGACGGUACCGUAAGAAUAAGGAUCGGCUAACUCCGUGCCAGCAGCCGCGGUAAUACGGAGGAUCCAAGCGUUAUCCGGAAUCAUUGGGUUUAAAGGGUCCGUAGGCGGUUUAAUAAGUCAGUGGUGAAAGCCCAUCGCUCAACGAUGGAACGGCCAUUGAUACUGUUAGACUUGAAUUACAAGGAAGUAACUAGAAUAUGUAGUGUAGCGGUGAAAUGCUUAGAUAUUACAUGGAAUACCAAUUGCGAAGGCAGGUUACUACUUGUGGAUUGACGCUGAUGGACGAAAGCGUGGGGAGCGAACAGGAUUAGAUACCCCUGUAGUCC
RNAcentral lists this ribosomal RNA (444 nucleotides) under uncultured bacterium. RNAcentral's name for it is "partial 16S ribosomal RNA". It matches the Rfam family "Bacterial small subunit ribosomal RNA", at positions 354 to 796 of the family's 1533-position model. The record is from RNAcentral.